GAUGAACGCUAGCGGCAGGCUUAACACAUGCAAGUCGAGGGGUAUAGUAGCAAUACUAGAGACCGGCGCACGGGUGCGUAACGCGUAUGCAAUCUACCUUUUACAGAGGGAUAGCCCAGAGAAAUUUGGAUUAAUACCUCAUAGUAUAACGACCUGGCAUCAGGAUGUUAUUAAAAGUCACAACGGUAAAAGAUGAGCAUGCGUCCCAUUAGCUUGUUGGAAGGUAACGGCUUACCAAGGCUACGAUGGGUAGGGGUCCUGAGAGGGAGAUCCCCACCAC
Molecule: ribosomal RNA, 280 nt
Filed under: uncultured bacterium
Lineage: Bacteria
Description: partial 16S ribosomal RNA
Rfam family: Bacterial small subunit ribosomal RNA
Source: RNAcentral